AUGAGUUUUUAAGUGUAAAUGAAAUGAGACUGACAUCAGGCAUAACAAAUUAUGUAUUUCUAAAAAUGAUAGCUCAACAAGCAUCCAAAUGUUCAAUGAAGCACCCAGAAGAGCUUCUGGCUCUAACUGCUUUCCUCAUUGCAAAUACAAUUAUGCCAUAAUAUGCAACUAUUACCUCUUUCCUUGCAUGUAAGUCUCAGCAUUUGUAUUUAGAGAAGGCUCACUUAAAGUCUUUGACAUAAAACUUUCUUAUGAAUAAAAAAAAUGAUUCUACUAACUGGUAUAAGGGCAUGCAUUUUGAAUUGCAUCUCUUUGGAUGGAACCCCAAGUUUGUGUCCUUUCUUGUCAAGUUUAUUCAGAAACGAGUGGCGUGGUUUCACGUUUGCUGUUUAAAACUACAGUGCCCUUGCCACUGUGGUGAAAUGUUUGCCUCCACAUGAAGCAAUCACACUUCCAGUGAACCUGAAAUCUGGGUCUCAGUACUUACAGUUUCAAGAAAGCCACACUGUCCUCAUGUGUAAAAAAGAUGCAAAGAUAAUCCAUGGAUUUUUGUUUAAAGAAAUAGUGUGCUUAAGAAUGUUUUUAAAUGCUGAGGUUGUUAUCCUCAGAAAUACAUCUUGUGACAUUUUAAUUCUCUCUAUUUGACAAAUUUGUAACAGCAUUGCUUGAGGAACUUAACAAGACUCAAAGUAAUUAUUCUCAUCCAUCUCACUGAAGAUAUAUAAAUCUUACAUUAAAGAUUUUGCAAGUUAUGAAAAUAUAUUGUCCCUAUAAAGUACAUUUAGCAUCAGAAGGAUUCAGAUGAGGCUUUGGAAUAAUAAUGGAGAAAACCAAGUGGUUUAAAUUAGAGCUCAACAAUAGUGCCCAGCAAAUCAUUUUGCUGGUCUUCAGCUCCACGUUUAUGUCUCUUCCAUAAGUAGAUUAUGCUAAUAGGUGCCAAGAGAUUCAUAUCUCCGGCAGGCUGAGAACGUCUGUGGUUACUUUAAAUUCUCUUUCUCUCAAAGGGCAGACAUCAUAACCUGAAGUAUUUUCAUUAUGGUUCACUUAACAAAGACGAUGUGUGGCAGGUAGACUGCCUAUCAAUAAUCUUCAGUGAGUAUUCACUUUGGACAAGCUUUGUAAUGUGGGUUUGGAGCAGAAAGGCAAAUAAAAGAAGACAUUAUCUUUCUUCUUAGAUGCUUGAAGUAAAAAAUCACAUGUGCAUUCCCACUCUCCUUCCCCUAGCAAUGCAUGAGGAAUAGAAUAAAUUCUCAUGGGGUCAAAUCCCACUAACUGUAACUUAUUCUUGAAACACACACUAGAUCCUAUGGCUGUACCUCCACAUGUUCUGAAGAAACUAUAUAUGCAAAGCAUAUACACAAACCAAUACGCAAACACAAAAAUAGCCAAAAAUCCACUUUUAUAAAAGGAUAUUUAACUUCUUGCCAGCAUUAUUUUCUCUGAUCUCAUUUUUUUUCACUGAUAAGAUUUGAAUAACAAGAGUACUGAUAUUAUACAUGAUAUGUAAGUAUUAAGGAGAUAAAGUACAAAGAUGAUAGCAUACAAUCAGCAUUCAAUAAAUAAUAGUUAUCAAUAGUAGGAAUAGUAUGAAUUCAGCAGCAGCCCUAUUUAUGAACUCAUGAACUAGAAUUGAGAAACUUUUGUAAGCCAGAUACUGCAUUAAAGUGCUGGCAAAAUGAAGAUAAACCACACAUUCUAUACCCUCAAUCGUUUCUCAGGUUUUUGUGAAACACAGUCAUUCACACACACACACACACACACACACCCCCUCAAACACACAAACGCACACAAAAAUACAGUAUGACAAAUGCUCUGAUUACAUUUU
Molecule: long non-coding RNA, 1825 nt
Filed under: Canis lupus familiaris (dog)
Lineage: Eukaryota; Metazoa; Chordata; Mammalia; Carnivora; Canidae
Description: lncRNA (ENSCAFG00000058918.1)
Source: RNAcentral